CUGACAGCCUGGAAGACAGAACUCUGUUUAUUCACAGAACACAUUAGCACAGGCAGCAGCAAGGCAAACUUCUCCAUGCUGCAUGUCACUGUAUCUCAACUCUGGCCUAGAGGGACCAGCUCUAGGUGUGAAAAAAGAGUUAAGUCUCCAUGCUCAUUUAACCCUUGGCCUUU
RNAcentral lists this small RNA (173 nucleotides) under Chelonoidis abingdonii (Abingdon island giant tortoise). RNAcentral describes it as "TUC338 (ENSCABG00000002468.1)". The record is from RNAcentral. Lineage: Eukaryota; Metazoa; Chordata; Testudines; Testudinidae.